RNAcentral lists this ribosomal RNA (395 nucleotides) under Micrococcus sp. 1710. RNAcentral describes it as "bacterial SSU rRNA". It matches the Rfam family "Bacterial small subunit ribosomal RNA", at positions 1117 to 1510 of the family's 1533-position model. Lineage: Bacteria; Bacillati; Actinomycetota; Actinomycetes; Micrococcales; Micrococcaceae. The record is from RNAcentral.
GCCAGCACUUCGGGUGGGGACUCAUGGGAGACUGCCGGGGUCAACUCGGAGGAAGGUGGGGACGACGUCAAAUCAUCAUGCCCCUUAUGCCUUGGGCUUCACGCAUGCUACAAUGGCCGGUACAAAGGGUUGCGAUGCUGUGAGGUUGAGCCAAUCCCAAAAAGCCGGUCUCAGUUCGGAUUGGGGUCUGCAACUCGACCCCAUGAAGUCGGAGUCGCUAGUAAUCGCAAAUCAGCAACGCUGCGGUGAAUACGUUCCCGGGCCUUGUACACACCGCCCGUCAAGUCACGAAAGUCGGUAACACCCGAAGCCGGUGGCCCAACCCUUGUGGGGGGAGCCGUCGAAGGUGGGACUGGCGAUUGGGACUAAGUCGUAACAAGGUAGCCGUACCGGAA